This 774-nucleotide non-coding RNA is filed under the name Coleoptera sp. ACP-2013. Lineage: Eukaryota; Metazoa; Arthropoda; Insecta; Coleoptera. The record is from RNAcentral.
AUAUAAAUAUAAUAUAGGUUUUUAAGUUGUUUUUAUAUUAAUUUUAUAUGAAAAUUAUAGUGAGAAUCAUUAUAUUUUUUAAUAAAAUAUAAUUAUAAUAUAAUUUCAAUAUAUAAUUUUAUAAAUUUAAAGAAAUUUAGAUAUAGUUAUAUAUAAUAAUUUUAAUAAAAUUUGUGCCAGCAAUUGCGGUUAAACAAAUAAUGUAAAAUAAUUUUUUUUAAAUUAAAAAAAUUUUAUUUAAUUUAUAAUAAAAAUAUAAUUUAUAAAGUGAAAUUUAAAAUUAUUAAUAUAUUUUAAUUAAAUGUAUUUGAAAAUUUAAUUUAAAAACUAGGAUUAGAUACCCUAUUAUUUUAAAGGUAAAUUAAAAUUUAGAUUAUUAUUAGUUAUUUUCUAUAAAAUUAAAAUAUUUGGCGGUAUUUUAAUCAAUUUAGAGGAACCUGUUAAUUAAUUCGAUAAUCCACGAUUAAUCAAACUUAUUUAAUUAGUUAAUAUAUCGUUGUUAUUAAUUAUUUUAAAAGAAUUUAAUAAUUAAAAUUUUUAAUUAAAAAUAAUAUCAAAUCAAGAUGUUGCUUAUAAAUAAGAUUAAAUGGGUUACAAUAAAAUUAUUUUUAGAUAAUUAUUUGAAAAAUAAUUUAAAAUUGGAUUUAAUAGUAAUUUAAUUUAUUUAAUUUAAAUGAUUAUGUUCUAAAAUAUGUACAUAUUGCCCGUCGCUUUUACUUUAAAGUAAAAUAAGUCGUAACAAAGUAGAUUUACUGGAAAGUGAAUCUAGAAGAU